UUACAAACUAUAUAUAAAAUGUGUCUCCAAGGCCAAAUUAGCCAAAACGAAUUCCAAAUCCAGGAGUCCAGCACCGUAAGUGGCCCUACUACCGGCAAACAUCCUCCACCCCCCCUGGGGCUUCAGAUGUUCCUAAAUCCUUUGGC
Gavialis gangeticus (Gharial) is the source of this 146-nucleotide long non-coding RNA. RefSeq lists it as uncharacterized. NCBI's taxonomy places the organism in Eukaryota, Metazoa, Chordata, Crocodylia, Gavialidae. The transcript is spliced from 5 exons. The record is from RefSeq and is a predicted model, not a curated record.